UACGUAGGGUGCGAGCGUUAAUCGGAAUUACUGGGCGUAAAGCGUGCGCAGGCGGUUCGUUAAGUCAGCUGUGAAAGCCCCGGGCUCAACCUGGGAAUUGCGGUUGAAACUGGCGAACUAGAAUCUGGCAGAGGGGGGUGGAAUUCCACGUGUAGCAGUGAAAUGCGUAGAGAUGUGGAGGAACACCGAUGGCGAAGGCAGCCCCCUGGGCUGAGAUUGACGCUCAUGCACGAAAGCGUGGGGAGCAAACAGG
Molecule: ribosomal RNA, 253 nt
Filed under: uncultured bacterium
Lineage: Bacteria
Description: partial 16S ribosomal RNA
Rfam family: Bacterial small subunit ribosomal RNA
Source: RNAcentral